AUGCACGCUGGCGGCGUGCCUCAUACCUGCAAGUCGAGCGCACGGACGAGAAGCUUGCUUCUCUGAUGUUAGCGGCGGACGGGUGAGUAACACGUGGAUAACCUACCUAUAAGACUGGGAUAACUUCGGGAAACCGGAGCUAAUACCGGAUGAUAUUUUGAACCGCAUGGUUCAAAAGUGAAAGACGGUCUUGCUGUCACUUAUAGAUGGAUCCGCGCUGCAUUAGCUAGUUGGUAAGGUAACGGCUUACCAAGGCAACGAUGCAUAGCCGACCUGAGAGGGUGAUCGGCCACACUGGAACUGAGACACGGUCCAGACUCCUACGGGAGGCAGCAGUAGGGAAUCUUCCGCAAUGGGCGAAAGCCUGACGGAGCAACGCCGCGUGAGUGAUGAAGGUCUUCGGAUCGUAAAACUCUGUUAUUAGGGAAGAACAUAUGUGUAAGUAACUGUGCACAUCUUGACGGUACCUAAUCAGAAAGCCACGGCUAACUACGUG
RNAcentral lists this ribosomal RNA (496 nucleotides) under uncultured bacterium. RNAcentral's name for it is "partial 16S ribosomal RNA". It matches the Rfam family "Bacterial small subunit ribosomal RNA", at positions 29 to 507 of the family's 1533-position model. The record is from RNAcentral.